RNAcentral lists this long non-coding RNA (1134 nucleotides) under Cicer arietinum (chickpea). RNAcentral describes it as "long non-coding RNA (CARI_LNC000062)". Lineage: Eukaryota; Viridiplantae; Streptophyta; Magnoliopsida; Fabales; Fabaceae. The record is from RNAcentral.
UAUUUCUCUUCAAAAAAUUCUAAAAUCUUUCAUCACUGCGCCCUUCCAAUUGUCCACCAAAAUCCAUUUUCAAUCUAAAUCCUCCUUGCACAAGCUCUCAACAAACUCUACUCACACAACAAUCUUCGUGUAACGCUCCUUGCGCAAACUCUUUCAUUCUCACGCAAAACAAUCUUCAUUGUCUUCUCUCUCAAGAACCCUCUCGACAUCGCUCGACCUGAAUGAGAAAGGGGAAAAACAUGAUUAGGGUUUCUGUGUCGAGUACAGUUUUCUCGUGAUUUUCCCCCUUUUCUCGCAACUCUACAUCGAUUAGGGUUUUGGCAUCUUGCGAGACUUGCAAAAGUUUUACCUCUUCGUGACUUGGUGAGCUUGGUAUGUAUUUUCAUAGUUGCUCUAUUAUCGCUCAACCUUUGCAUCAAUUACGUUUGCAUUACUCUAAAAAUAACUCUAUAAUCAUCUUCAAAUGAUUGAUUUUGAUAUCGCUCUUUAUUCUAUUUCCUAUUUGCUGUUUUUUAAUCUAUGACAUCUUGUGGAUUCUAAAAUAUGAGAAAUUCAUCUCUCUAAUCUUAGAAACACUUUAAAAACUUGAAGCAUUAAGGAUGGGUAUAUGGUUAUUUCUGUUGAUUGUUCAUAUAACUUGAGAUAUUGGUUGUUUAUUUUAAUCUCUCUGCACUAUGUUAAUUAGUGGGAAGAACCAUCAUAGUUAGAGCAUUAGUAUCCUUAAUCUGCAUAUGAAGUGUUUGCAAAAUGUCCUAAGUAAGCGGAGGUACUUUAUUAUGCAUGAAGGUGGUAAAUAGUAGCAUUGCGGAAAUGAACUUUUGCAUCUCAACAUUGUUAGAUGCUCUUUGAUAAAUCGAGAAGCUUCUGUUAGCCCGAAAGUAAUCCUUACUUGGCCUUACCGUUGAGGUGUUUGUUAACAUGAGCUUGAAAUUUGACUUGAGAUCAUGCUUCUUGUUAGUUAUAGCUGCAAUUUUCUUGAUUUCAUUGUUCUAUCAAUAAUGGGAUGUGAUAUGAGUACAGGAAAUAUAAGAUAUAAGUUAUUUUAUAAUUUUAUUUGAGAGUAUACUAAUUUUUGUUAAUUUUCUAUCUAAUAUUUUUAAUGUCUUUUUUUAUAUAAUUGAUUUAAUGUUGCAG